AGGAAUACUAUGCGGCAAACUGAGGGGCGGAGUUGCCGCAAAGAGAGACUUCUGCGCCGGUGCUAUCCAAUGCGUCAACCCCUCCACUUGUCCUCAAUCCCUUCGCAUGCGCAGGAAGAGGCUUGUGGUAGCUUUGCUGUCAGAUUGAGGGCUGGUUCCCUUGCUGAUAGCUGCUUGGGCUGAGGGGUGAGGAGCAUCCAGGCGCGAGAGGGUGUGGGAGACAGGGACUCGGAUUUCCCUGAUUGUAACAGGGAAAGCGACUGCGUGGCGGCGCGCUCGCGCGUGUGUGUGUGUUUGUGUGUGUGUGCGGAGCCCCAGGGACGCUGACUAUUGUUGCCGCUGCCUCCGCGGGACCUUAGCGUUCGUUGCCCCUACCCCCCCCACCCCCACCCCAGUCCCAGCCGUCUCUGCCGGACCUUAGCGUUCGCGGCCUCCCCUUGCCCGCUGCCUCUGUCGGACCUUGGCGCCCCCCCCCCCCCCACCUCCUCCAGUUUCCCUCGGUGCCCGCCACUUGUGCCAGACCUUAGGGUUACUGGCCCCCUCGGUGGCAGCCUCCUCUGCCCGGAUUUGGCGUUCGGGGCCCCCUGUUGCCGCCGCCUGCGCCGCGGCUUGGCGUUCGGGGGUCCAGUUGCCGCCUCCCGUGUCGGACUCUGUCAUUCUCGGACUCAUCGCAGCUGCGCCUCUUUGAGCCGCCGCCGGGCUCUGAGGUAAGGUCGUAACUUGGCUUUGCCGGACUAGAAAAGCAAGCGGGGGUUGGCCGUGGCUUGGAGGAUCUGAGCGGACUGAAUAGGGCCGAAUAUAGUGGGGCGGGGAGCGUCGGCGCUUUGGGCAGCCUUGGGGAGGAGAAGGAACAGUAGAAGUGACGCGGGGAAGGCUUGCUCCUCUGCGGCAGAGAAGGCUCUUCUGUAGUGGACAGAAUGUCUAAGAGAAAAGAGGACGAUUUCCUCCCAGCUACAUAUCAGAAAAAGGCAAGGCCAGGGCCAGAGGGGGAUUCAGAAGAGAGCCUGGAGAGAGGCUACUCUCAGAGUGUGUCUCAUGGAAGUUCUGCUUAUCGGUCAGAGUCACAGGAAGUUGGGAUCAUUGAAAGUAUCCAGCUGGAAAACUUUAUGGGCUAUGCCAAUCUUGGACCUGUGAAAUUCGGAUCUAAUGUCAAUUUUGUGGUGGGACACAGUGGGAAAAAUGCGUUGUUGAAAGCUCUCAUAGUUGGUCUUGGUGGAAAAUCGUUAGGAUCGUCUUUGAAAGAGUUUGUGAAAGAUGGAGAGGAGUCAGCUAACAUCUUGAUCACAAUAAAGAACAGAGGGGAAGAUGCUUUUAAAGCUGAGGUUUAUGGGGACUCGAUAACUGUGCACCAGCACAUCAGUGUGGAUGGGAGUGCAAGUUAUGAGCUAAUAAAUCAUUCAGGAAUCGUGGUUUCUUCUCAGAAAGAGGAUCUUAUUGCCAUUCUUGAACAUUUUAAGAUACAGGUGGAUAAUCCAGUAUCUAUUUUACCACACAAGGUGGGCAGGCAGAUAAUGAGGAUCAGAAAUGAAAAUGACAGAUACAAAUUGUUUAUGGAAGCAACUGAGCUUGAACAGAUGAGAGAAGGCUACGCUAAAAUUUUGGCGAGAAAGUUGAGAAGCCAGCAAGAAAUAGAACAAGGAGCAGAGCAGCUUGAGGAGCUCCGCCGUCAGGGUGUGGAGAUAGAAGAGCAUUUUCAGACGAUGGGUGCUUUGGAUCAGAGAUUAGAGAACUUAAAACAAGAGAAGACUUGGGCACUGGUGAAAGAAACUGAAAGAACAAUUAGUAAUAUGAUAAGUGAUAUAAAUGUUGAAGACCAACAUACUGUCAUAUUAAAUCACGACCUGGAGGUUUCCAGAGUCACGUAUAAUGAAACAUUACAGAGGUAUAUUGCCAUUCAUGAGAAUGUGGUAAAGUUAAAUGAAGAAGCUGCCAUCUUAGAGCCCAAAUACAGUGAGGCAAAAGAAAUUGCUAAGAGAACAGACAGGGCAUACCGUCAAGCAACAGCCUUCUAUAAUUAUUCCCAGACUGAACUGGCCAAAUUAGACAAAAUUUCAGAGCAGCUUCAUGACAAAAUUCUAGACUUAAGAAAGAAUCUGGAACUAGCAGAAUUAGAAAAACAGAAAAAAAUCUCCACAUUAAAGGAAAAGAUAAGUAACUAUAAGAAUCAAGAGGAUUCACUUGUUCAAGAAAUAAAAUAUCUUCAUCAGUCCAUAGAAAAAGAUGAUGAAGACCAUUCUAGAAUUAGAGAAGAAGAAACAUUUGUGCAGGAAAUACUGAAUGAGAAUCAAGAACAUCUAAAGCAUUUGAGAGACUAUAAAUCUGACCCACUAAAACGAUUUGGACCCCAGAUUCCAGCUCUUCUGGGAGCAAUAGAAGAGGCCUACAAACAAGGAUACUUUACUCGCAAGCCAUUAGGUCCACUAGGAGCUUGCAUUAAUCUCCGAUUCCCUGAAUAUGCUUUGGCUAUUGAGACCUGCCUAAAAGGCCUUCUUCUUGAUUUUUUUUGUGACAACUCCAAAGAUGAGCAAGUCCUUCAGGAGUUGCUGAAAAGGUUUUAUCCAACAACCUGUUCUGAUCGACCACAGGUAAUUGUGUCAUCCUUUCAGUGUGAGUUUUAUGAUGUGACAGACAGAGCAGCUUGUCACCCAGAGUAUCCAUCAGUUCUCUCAGCUUUAGAAAUUGAUGAAGCUGUGGUGGCCAAUACUUUGAUUGACUUGAGAAACAUAGAAUCGGUCCUGCUAAUUAAAAGUGAGUCUUUUCCUACUAUGUAUGCACAGGGACGCCCCAAGAACUGUAACAGAAUUCUGACUGUUUGUGGUGACCAUGUUUUUGAGGGACGCUAUUACACCCCUGAAGAAUUGAGACCUAUUUACUUAGGUGAUAUGGAAGGAGAAAUAAGCAUUUUGGAGAAAGAAGUGGAAAAUAAAAUGGCAAAGUUGUCAGAAUUUCAAGAACAAGUGUGUGCACUUCAAGAUGAUAUCAGGAAGAAUCGAGAAAUAAUUGAUAGUCAUUAUCGACAUUUAAGAGAAAUAAAAGGUAAUGUAAUAAAUCUCUCUUCAGAAAUAAGAGAUCUUGAAGAUGAAGAAGAAAACCAGUCAGUAGAUCUCUCGGUUCUGGAAGAUGAAGCUGAAGAAAUUAAAGAAGAAAUGAAAGAAGUUGAAAAAAAGAUAGAAACUCGAAGGGAAACCAUGGAGAAUUUAAAGCAACCAAAAAUAGAUGCUGAACAGAGACAUGAGGAAUUUAGGUUAAAAUGUAAUCAAGUUUCAGAAUUAGUAGAAUCCCUUAUGGAAGAACGAAACCAGACUGGUUUAGAAGUGACUGCUCAACACCAAUCUGUGUUGCAUUAUCAAAAUAGGCUCAGGCAGCAUAUAGAUUCUCUCCAAAUAGUAAAAAAUGAGCUGGCAAUGAAAGAGAAAGAACUUGAGAGGGAGAUUGCUCAGGCUAACUUCAUUUGUCCUGAACGCAUAGAAGUUACAAGAACCUCUGAUGUUCUUGACAGAGAAAUUGAUUUAUUAACCCAGAGGAUACAGUCAGAAAACUACACUAACAAAAAACGAGAAGACAUAACAAAGCAGUACCAGAUUGCAAAAGAAAAAUAUCUGGAUCUCAAUGGUAAAAUGAAUAAUUUGAAAAGCUUUAUUGAAACACUGGAUGAAAUACUGGAACAGAGAUAUGAUACAUACCAGAAAAGUAGAAAAAGUCUUUCUUUACAAUGCAAGUUGUUCUUUGACAACUUACUAUCUCAGUGGUCCUUCUGUGGAGAGAUGCGCUUUAAUCACAAGAAUGAGACUCUCUCUAUAACAGUCCAACCUGGAGAUGCUGCUUAUAGUGACAUGGGAGCCUUAUCAGCAAAUGGAACCUCUUUUACCAACUUUUUAUUCAUUCUUACUUUAUGGUCUGUCACAGAAUCUCCCUUCAGAUGUCUGGAUACAAUUGAUAUCUACAUGGACAGGAAAAGUAGAAAAAUUGCCAUGGACAUGAUCCUCUGGGUAUCACAUUUCUACCAAAACCACCAAGUCAUCCUGCUCAGUUCACAAUUCAUGACCGCUCUUCCUCAAAGUCCACUUGUUGAAAUACUCGAAAUGCCAGAUCUUGAAAGUGAUGAGCAAUCCCUGCCUGUGGAAUCAGCCAAUCCAAACCAAGAUUGAAUUUUUAUUUUCAUGUGAUUGUGCUAUCUACACAGUGUGGUGUUUUAUUUUAUUUUUCUUAAAAUGUUUGCAGUGUUGUGUUUAAAAAUCUCACUACUUUGAAAAAUAUAUUUAAUAUUUAAAAGUGUUUCAGAAAAGCAAAGUGACAGGAAAGAGUACAGUAUAAUUCCCCCAUCAGACCUCACCUACAAGAACUAGAAAACACACCAGACUGGAUUCUGACCUGAAAUCCAAGAAAAAGAAUUCUUUGGACAAUUGGGGUGGGGUCUUGGCCUUGUACCAUAGCAGCAUCUGGGGACUGAAAGAAAAAAAAAAAACUAGACAUCUGGGCAGGAAACACUAGUAAUGAGAGUAAAAUUGUUUUCUGUGACAUAACUGACUCUUUUAUUAGGCCACUGUUUGUGUUAAAGUAUUUUGAUGCUUGUUUUUCAAUGUUAAGAUAAAUAUAUGUAUAUUGUAAAUUGGUAAAUAGUGUGUGUGUGUGUGUGUGUGUGUGUGUAUGUGUUGAUAGACAACUGAUAAACAUAUGGAAUAUCCAUAUAUGACCACCAACCAGUGGAAAAACUUGUAAAAAAAAAAUCACCAUUUACUUUUAUUACCAGUGAUCAAUGAAAUUAUUUGGUAAAUUUGUUUAGCCACCAAUUAGAACUUGGGUAUAAUUAGCUCAUGCCCCAAACUGCCUGGCUCCAGUCUUCAACCUGCUUUUGGGUUAAGAUUAACCCUCGCUCCUGUGUUCCUUGUACUUGUGACUCCAUUCUCACAUCGUGUUUGCUUGAAGACAUUGCUGAUCAACUGACAAGGAUUUGUAGACUUGCCAGUCAACCACCUAUUUUGGAGACAUCAUUCACAAGCGAUCGGAGUCAUGCUUAUUGAUGUUCAAGUGCUGUGAUUUCAUCAUUGGUGCCUUCGUGACCCUAUUGCUGCUCAUCGUUGCUUAUUUCAUUGCACAUUCUUUCCUACGUAUCACCUCAGUACCUUUUUGCAGCCCCUUGCAACCAAGAAUGGCUUCAUUCUUUGGUUGCUUAUUUAAUAUCCAACUGUUCCUGUAAAUCACAGUUGUGACAAGCAGAAUACAUAAGGAUACAAAAUACUGCCAGCAUGACAGUGGGGACUGCCACCUUCUUAGAUACCCCAUUGAAAAAAGAGGGGUUACACACUUUAGAUUUGCCUGAGGCACAAGAAAUCCUCACCAAGAAGUCACCGUGAUCAUUUAAAUCUCAUCAAGAGGUGAUGCAGGCAAUCAAAGACUUUAGCCACACUUGGCCUAAAGAAAGACAUGAUGGACAUGAUAGUGAUUACCAGACUGAAAAUUGCAGGGCAUUGGUUUGAGUGGGAUAUUAUUAAGGUGUUCUCUUAUAUUCGUUCUUGGCUUGGUCUGCAGAGGACUUGCCAUGAGAGAACAUGGGACAAAUGGAAAGAUCUAUUGUCCUAAUAUUUUAAACAUAUUUUAAAAUGUAUUAAUGCUAUGUGUAAUAUUGAUGCUUAUGUGUACUAUAUGUUCUCACCCUAAGCAAUGAAAACAUUGAGUGUUGGGAAUCACAAUCAAUUAGUGAUAAUUAUACUACUUUGCAUAGACUAUCCUAGAUGACUGCAGGGAUAAUCAGCAGCCAAAGGGUGAAUGUAGUGAGAAUACAUUUGUUGCCUUGAUAUUUAACUGAUUCCAUUUUUAAUAGGUCUCUAUUUUGUGAUGAAGUGUUUAUAUGUUUGUUUUUUGUAACUUCUCUUUAAAUAUUAAGAUUAGCAUAUUAUUGUAGAGGUUGGUAAAUAAUAUGUUUGUGUUCAUAAAUAAUUGAUAAAUAUGUGUGACUUCCCUCCAUAUAGGACAAAACACCAACAGGAAAAUUUGGUAAAGAAACUCACCUUCCACUUCUGUA
RNA transcript from Sarcophilus harrisii (Tasmanian devil), 6022 nucleotides. It is a transcript of the gene named structural maintenance of chromosomes protein 6 pseudogene, with no coding region annotated. Lineage: Eukaryota; Metazoa; Chordata; Mammalia; Dasyuromorphia; Dasyuridae. The transcript has 2 exons. The record is from RefSeq and is a predicted model, not a curated record.